UACGAAGGGGGCUAGCGUUGCUCGGAAUCACUGGGCGUAAAGGGCGCGUAGGCGGCCUGUUAAGUCGGACGUGAAAUCCCCGGGCUCAACCCGGGAACUGCAUCCGAUACUGGCAGGCUUGAAUUCGGGAGAGGGAUGUGGAAUUCCAGGUGUAGCGGUGAAAUGCGUAGAUAUCUGGAGGAACACCGGUGGCGAAGGCGGCAUCCUGGACCGACAUUGACGCUGAGGCGCGAAGGCCAGGGGAGCAAACGGG
This 253-nucleotide ribosomal RNA is filed under the name uncultured bacterium. RNAcentral describes it as "partial 16S ribosomal RNA". It matches the Rfam family "Bacterial small subunit ribosomal RNA", at positions 524 to 776 of the family's 1533-position model. The record is from RNAcentral.